UUCUUCAGGGCAGGGUGAAAUUCCCGACCGGCGGUACAGUCCGCGAGCCCCUCGGGGCACGAACCGGUGCAAUUCCGGUACCGACAGUAGAGUCUGGAUGGAAGAGGGA
This 109-nucleotide non-coding RNA is filed under the name bovine gut metagenome. RNAcentral's name for it is "FMN riboswitch (RFN element)". It matches the Rfam family "FMN riboswitch aptamer (RFN element)". Rfam says of the family: The RFN element is a highly conserved domain that is found frequently in the 5'-untranslated regions of prokaryotic mRNAs that encode for flavin mononucleotide (FMN) biosynthesis and transport proteins. This element is a metabolite-dependent riboswitch that directly binds FMN in the absence of proteins. The record is from RNAcentral.